RNAcentral lists this ribosomal RNA (494 nucleotides) under uncultured bacterium. Its description in RNAcentral is "partial 16S ribosomal RNA". It matches the Rfam family "Bacterial small subunit ribosomal RNA", at positions 28 to 507 of the family's 1533-position model. The record is from RNAcentral.
GACGAACGCUGGCGGCGUGCUUAACACAUGCAAGUCGAACGGUGAAGCGCCUUCCUUUUUGGUGGGUGUGGAUGAGUGGCGAACGGGUGAGUAACACGUGAGUAACCUGCCCCCUUCUUCUGGAUAACCGCAUGAAAGUGUGGCUAAUACGGGAUAUUCUGGGUCUGUCGCAUGAUGGGUCUGGGAAAGAUAUUGUUUCGGUGGGGGAUGGGCUCGCGGCCUAUCAGCUGGUUGGUGGGGUGAGGGCCUACCAAGGCGGUGAGGGGUAGCCGGCCUGAGAGGGUGGACGGCCACACUGGGACUGAGACACGGCCCGGACUCCGACGGGGGGCAGCAGUGGGGAAUAGUGAACAAUGGGCGCAAGCCUGAUGCAGCGACGCCGCGGGAGGGAUGGAGGCCUUCGGGUUGUGAACCUCUUUCGCCAGUGAAGCAGGCCUGCCUCGUAUGUGGGUGGGUUGACGGUAGCUGGAUAAGAAGCGCCGGCUAACUACGUG